This 514-nucleotide long non-coding RNA is filed under the name Spirodela polyrhiza (greater duckweed). RNAcentral's name for it is "long non-coding RNA (SPOL_LNC002375)". Lineage: Eukaryota; Viridiplantae; Streptophyta; Magnoliopsida; Alismatales; Araceae. The record is from RNAcentral.
GCCCGGCGGAGCUCUCGUUCCCCUGCGGGCAAGCUCUUCUCUCCGGCGAGGGGAGCCUUGAACGGGUUCUGGUAGCAUUCACUGGUCACUAGUUAUCUAUCCUUUUGUUUUAUUUUUUCUUGAUCCCCGGUGAGUUUUUUUUUUCCGAUUUCCAGGCUAGGGUUUUGCCCCCUUUGCCCUCCCGUGUAAGAUUUUCUUACCGCGUAGAUCGUGACCGGAUCCGUAUGGCCAUUGCUGCGGUUUUGAUUGAUCUAUGAGGGAGUCGUCCGAGCCGCGCCGGAUGCUUUGCGCUUGCAUUUUCCGUUCGGUGAUGAUACUCCGGAAUCUCGAAGAAUGUGUUUUCCUUUUUCCGUUUGGUGGCAUAGAUGCGUAUGCAUUAUCUGCCUUAUGGUUCAUUUCAAAGCCCAGGGCAUAAAACUUAUCAGGUCAUCUGCAGUUUUAAUGCGUUCCUUGCGUUCUUUUGCCAACUCUAAUGAUGUUUCUCGAAGUGGUUGAAAGAUGCUAGCUGCUGCGU